Molecule: long non-coding RNA, 3162 nt
Organism: Musa acuminata AAA Group (dessert banana)
Lineage: Eukaryota; Viridiplantae; Streptophyta; Magnoliopsida; Zingiberales; Musaceae
Exons: 2
Source: RefSeq, a predicted model, not a curated record
CCACUGAGUUGGUCACCGCGGACAGACGCACGGCUCCUCCGGUCGCGAUGGGUCUCCUCCUCGAAUGACGGCGUCGGAAAAGAUCGUCGCUGCCCCCCUGCUUUUUUCACCCCUCGCCGUCGCCCCCCUCAAGAUCGGUACGGUCAUCUGCACACUCCGAAAACUCUCGUGAUCUCUAAAGCCCUAAUUGCCUCCGCGUAUUUUGAUUCGGUCCAUAUCGUUACAAAAAUGGGCUUAUCAUCCUCAACUUGUGUUACUUCCAAGUUAACAUAUGCCACCAUGUUCAUCAGACUAUGCUAAUUGUUUGAAUAUGUUCUUCUCAACUUUUUGCUGGGAACAAUGUAUGAUAGUCAUGUUAUAGAUUUUGAAAGGGAUAUCUACACAUAAAUUCAUCAGUUAAUUUGUUAUUAACUCAGACUUCUUCAGCCUAGUCAACAAAGCAUCUAUUUGGUUGUAUAUUUUAGAUGUAUCUUUUUCAGAUAGUCUUGCCCUAUGUUAAUGAAAAUCAUUGAUGGGAGUGAUUGCCAAGGAAUUAACAUUUAUAAUUGGAUACAGUGUUUUAUUGACUAGCAUUUAUUUAGAAAGAGAUCAAUUAUAGAGUUUUCAUGGGAUAAAUAUGGACAUUUAAAGCUUAACACUUGACAUGAAUAAAAAAAUUCUCAUACUAUAAUAAUUUAUUUUGUAUAUUCAAGCACGUAUGCUAUAUCAAAUAUUAACUCAUAACAAAAGAAAAAUGAUGUUAGCAAUAAAGAACAGAAAAUAGAGGUUUAAAACAAUCAUAAGCAUACUUUCUAGUGGUUGGAGGUCAACAAAUAUGAGACUUUUCAGUUUGAAGUGCAAUAUUAGUUACAAUAGUAAUUUUAGUUCUCUUUUGACUUUUCCAAGUAAUUAUAUUGAGUGUCAAAACUAGCAAAGGGGACUUUUGAAGGUCAGCAUGGACCUAGAAUAUCAAAGCAGAAAUAUAGAAGGCUGAUGAAACUUGUAAAGAAAGAAGAGCAAAGGCUAUUAAGGGCACAAGAGGGGAGGAGUCCUUUCACUUAUGGGGUAGUGACUACCCCAUCACACCUCCACCUCCUUCCAUUCCUGGGCAGUAUCUCAACCAAUAUUUCAUGUCAUGAGGGUAAGUGGUGAAAGCAGGAUUUGAGCCCAAGACCUUGCGAUAUACUGUCAAAGUCUUUACUGGCUAGCUGACACCUUCGAACUUAAGCAAAGAUUGUUGCAAUGCUUUGAAAGCAACAAGAAACGGUAACUUAGAUGAUUUUAUAGAAACAAUAUAUUUUUUAUGCAGCUAUGAGACCUCAAAAUGAAACCAUUUUAUGCCAAAGCAUAUGUUACUUUCAAUCAAGGUUUUAAGAGUUGAUCUCUGCAGAUACAUAAUUACAUAUAUGAAUCAGCCACUAAACCACAUAGCAUAAACUGUAUGAUACUCGUGAUAUGUAUCCACAUAAUCAGACCAUGUAUAUUGCAGCAUAAUGGUAGGUGGAACUGUGCUGACUCAGAAAAUACAUUAUUGAGAUGCUACCAUGGGAAUCGGGACUUGUGUGAUUGUAGAACUUAAUUAUCUAAAUAUCAAUCUGAUACCCAUUUUGUGUUAUGACAAUCUAUUAGACUAGGUUGUUAUUACCGAGCUGCUGAGCAAGAUUCCUGGUUACACCACCUGUUAUCACUGAAUAAACAAUAAAAAAAUGUAUGUACUGAUUUGUCCGGUAUUUUAAGCCACACUAGAACUAGCAUUAGGAGAUACUAAAGGAUUUAUUCUUUUUGACAUGUAGCCAAGUAUGGGAAUUAAAACUGUGGUUUGGAUGUUAAACUUGAUGCUGUCUCCAUCUCAUUACAGGUUUCUUUAAUAGCCAAUAUUGCAAAGUUUACUCUGAAGUUGUAAUUUACUAAUUUAAAAAUGCUAAGUUUGGCAUCUCCAAGAUAUCUAGGCUUCUGAAACUUGAUAUAUACAUCUCAUACUGUAGUUUUCCCGAUUUUGGUUGUAGUACUUGCAUUUGAUACUAAUUGUUGCUGCCAAGAAUUUUCUUUUUCCAGUGACAUACCAUGCUGAUAAUUUAUCUUGUCGGCAUAAUUUGAUGCAGCCCCCACGAUGAACAGUAGAAGCCAAGGGCACAGCACAAGCUUGUGUUACCUUAAUAAAAUGUACUGGCUUGUAUGCCUUGGUACAUCUGGUACAGAUCAUUCUUGGUUGAUGCAAUAAAAAAUAGUGAAGAUAAGCUCAGAAUGCUUUACCAAAAUGUUAUUUCUGAUUGAAUCAUGGGUCAGUCACGACUUCUACCAUGCUCUAUGCCAUCUCUGCUGUAGUUGUAUUGCUGGUUACUAUCUCCAUUAUUAUGGCUUCCUAUUUUCUUCUCUUUUUAUGUCACUGCAAAGAACACUUAACUGAAGAUUUCAUCUUCUGGUAGGGUGUAUGGAGCUUCUGAUAAUAAAUUCAUUUAGCAUUUUCCAGAAAAAGUGCAACAAAAUGAAAAUAACAUUGAGAUUAGUCUUUAUUGCUGUUACAUUAUAAUAUGUUAUUUGUGUUUCUUUUCUCUAAUUUGUUGGAAGAGGAAUUUUGAUUUCAUAAUAGAAAUUCAAAAUUGUUGAUUUUGAGUGCAUCAAAUUAGCAUUAAAAUCUCUAAUUCAUAGACUUCAUCAUACAUACUUUGUCGGUGAUGCUCCAACGGCAUGUACGUGCAAAGAGUCAAAAGAGGAUUAAUAAGGAAUUCCAUCAUUUAAAGUGAAAUAUGUGUGUUCAUUGCCUUUUUUUUUCACCCAAGACUGAUUAAUAAUUUUUCCCCCUCUGAAUAUUCCUUGGUAACAAGUGGAUGUUUGGAGUCUGUACUCUGCACCUGAAGUCUUGCUCACACUGUUUGAUUUUGCUGAAGAACCAGAAAGAUGCAAGGUUGCCAUACACACUGCCAUAAAAGCCAGCAAAUUCAUGAUUGGCGGUUCUCGGAAAGCAAAUGGAAGUUUGAAUAGAAGUCUACUGCUCUUCUAACAUGAUAAUGAAUGGUAUAGCUCUGAGUUGACAUAUGUAAUUAUGUUCAGAUUGUCUGAACUGGAACAGAUGAUGUAGAUGAUCGGUUUUUUUUUAUAUUCUCGAGAUCAACAUGGUCUGUGUAUUGAUAUUGCAUUACAAUGUACAGACAACAGAAUUUCUCAAGAUCAACUUGGUAUGUA